Molecule: ribosomal RNA, 1276 nt
Filed under: metagenome
Description: SSU rRNA
Rfam family: Eukaryotic small subunit ribosomal RNA
Source: RNAcentral
AUAACAAUACAGGGCUUUCAAAGUCUUGUAAUUGGAAUGAGCACAAUCUAAACCCCUUAGCGAGUAUCCAUUGGAGGGCAAGUCUGGUGCCAGCAGCCGCGGUAAUUCCAGCUCCAAUAGCAUACGUUAAAGUUGUUGCAGUUAAAACGCCCGUAGUCGAAUGUUGGGCCGGAACCGGUGUUGUCCGCCGAAAGGCGUGUAUGGCAUUGGCCGGUCUUUCUUCUGACUGGCGGCCGUCGGUCUGUAAAAGGGUCGACGGUUCCGCUGUCAGGACUUCUCCUUUGAAAAAAUUAGAGUGUUCAAAGCAGGCGUAAGCCUUGAAUACAUUAGCAUGGGAUAGUAAAAUACGACUUGGGUUCUAUUUUAUUGGUUUUAGGGCCGAAGUAAUGAUUAAUAGGGACAGUUGGGGGCAUUAGUAUUCAGUUGUCAGAGGUGAAAUUCUUGGAUUUACUGAAGACUAACUUCUGCGAAAGCAUUUGCCAAGGAUGUUUUCAUUGAUCAAGGACGAAAGUUAGGGGAUCGAAGACGAUUAGAUACCGUCGUAGUCUUAACCAUAAACUAUGCCGACUAGGGAUUGUAGACAGUUGUUUGAUGACUCCUGCAGCACCUUAUGAGAAAUCAAAGUCUUUAGGUUCUGGGGGGAGUAUGGUCGCAAGGCUGAAACUUAAAGGAAUUGACGGAAGGGCACCACCAGGAGUGGAGCCUGCGGCUUAAUUUGACCCAACACGGGAAAACUCACCCGGACCGGACAUAGUAAGGAUUGACAGACUGAUAGCUCUUUCUUGAUUCUAUGGUUGGUGGUGCAUGGUCGUUCUUAGUUCGUGGAGUGAUCUGUCUGGUUAACUCCGAUAACGAGCGAGACCUCCGCCUGCUAACUAGUCCAGCUGAUCCUCGGAUUGGCUGCUGACUUCUUAGAGGGACUGGUUACGUUCAGUAGCCGGAAGUGGAGGCAAUAACAGGUCUGUGAUGCCCUUAGAUGCCCGGGGCUGCACGCGCGCUACACUGACGAUUGCAGCGAGUUUGAUCCUUGGCCGAAAGGUCUUGGUAAUCUUUGCAAUGAUCGUCGUGAUGGGGAUAGAUUAUUGUAAUUAUUAAUCUUCAACGAGGAAUUCCUAGUAAGCGCAAGUCAUCAGCUUGCGUUGAUUACGUCCCUGCCCUUUGUACACACCGCCCGUCGCUCCUACCGACUGAGCGCUCAGGUGAAAAGACCGGACCGCGUCGCGGCUGCUGGUUCGCCAGUACUGCGAUGUGGAAAGUUCUUUGGACCUUAUCGCUU